This 1637-nucleotide ribosomal RNA is filed under the name Asterophlyctis sarcoptoides. RNAcentral's name for it is "bacterial SSU rRNA". The stretch from base 1 to 952 matches the Rfam family "Eukaryotic small subunit ribosomal RNA". The record is from RNAcentral. Lineage: Eukaryota; Fungi; Chytridiomycota; Chytridiomycetes; Chytridiales; Chytriomycetaceae.
GUGAAACUGCGAAUGGCUCAUUAAAUCAGUUAUAGUUUAUUUGAUAAUACCUUACUACUUGGAUAACCGUGGUAAUUCUAGAGCUAAUACAUGCAUUACAAGCCCCGACUUCUGGAAGGGGUGUAUUUAUUAGAUAAAAAACCAAUUGGUGAUUCAUGAUAACUUUUCGAAUCGCAUGGCUUUACGCCGGCGAUGGUUCAUUCAAAUUUCUGCCCUAUCAACUGUCGAUGGUAGGAUAGAGGCCUACCAUGGUUUUAACGGGUAACGGCGAAUUAGGGUUCGAUUCCGGAGAGGGAGCCUGAGAAACGGCUACCACAUCUAAGGAAGGCAGCAGGCGCGCAAAUUACCCAAUCCUGAUUCAGGGAGGUAGUGACAAUAAAUAACAAUCCAGGGCUUUUGUCUUGGAAUUGGAAUGAGAACAAUUUAAAUCCCUUAACGAGGAACAAUUGGAGGGCAAGUCUGGUGCCAGCAGCCGCGGUAAUUCCAGCUCCAAUAGCGUAUAUUAAAGUUGUUGCAGUUAAAUAGCUCGUAGUUGAAUUUUCUUUUACUUUGAAAAAAUUAGAGUGUUUAAAGCGGGCAUGAUUUGCUUGAAUACAUUAGCAUGGAAUAAUAGAAUAGGACUUUGGUUCUAUUUUGUUGGUUUCUAGGACCAAAGUAAUGAUUAAUAGGGAUAGUUGGGGGCAUUAGUAUUUAAUUGUCAGAGGUGAAAUUCUUGGAUUUAUGAAAGACUAACUUCUGCGAAAGCAUUUGCCAAGGAUGUUUUCAUUAAUCAAGAACGAAAGUCAGGGGAUCGAAGACGAUCAGAUACCGUCGUAGUCUUGACCAUAAACUAUGCCGACUAGGGAUCGGACGGGGCGAGUGAAGCGGGAAAAGCUCAAAUUUGAAAUCUCUCGGGUUCCCCGAGCGAAUUGUAGUUUCAAGAGGCGCUUUCGGGGGCAGCCUUGGACCAAGUCCGCUGGAACGCGGCACCACAGAGGGUGAGAGUCCCGUUGGUCCAGGCGUCUGCUCCUAUGUGAUGCGUUUUCAACGAGUCGCGUAGUUUGGGAAUGCUGCGCAAAUGGGUGGUAAAUACCAUCUAAAGCUAAAUAUUGGCGAGAGACCGAUAGCGAACAAGUACCGUGAGGGAAAGAUGAAAAGAACUUUGAAAAGAGAGUUAAACAGUACGUGAAAUUGUCAAAAGGGAAACGCUUGAAACCAGUAUUCCGUGCCGCCAAAUCAGCCGCAAAGGUGCAACGGGGGUCAGCAUCAGUUUGGGCUCGGGUAUAGCCGUCCGACCAUGCCCGGGACCAGACUGAGGACUGCAGCGCUUGGGAUGCUGACGAAAUGGUUUUAAACGACCCGUCUUGAAACACGGACCAAGGAGUCCAACACACACGCGAGUCUUUGGGUGGCAAACCCGAGGGCGCAAUGAAAGUAAAUGCAGGUGUGAUGCCGUCAAAAGCUGCAACAUCGACCGGACUGGACGUUUUACUAAAAGUUCUGAGUAGGAGCGUGUUUGUUGGGACCCGAAAGAUGGUGAACUAUGCCUGAAUAGGGUGAAGUCAGAGGAAACUCUGAUGGAAGCUCGUAGCGGUUCUGACGUGCAAAUCGAUCGUCAAAUUUGGGUAUAGGGGCGAAAGACUAAUCGAACCAUCUAG